ACACGAACCGGACAAACGUUAUUCGGAAUUAUUGGGCUUAAAGGGUGCGUAGGCGGCGCGGUAAGUGAGGUGUGAAAGCCCUCGGCUCAACCGGGGAACUGCGCUCAAAACUGCCAGGCUAGAGGAAGAUAGAGGUGAGCGGAACUAAUGGUGGAGCGGUGAAAUGCGUUGAUAUCAUUAGGAACACCUGUGGCGAAAGCGGCUCACUGGGUCUUUUCUGACGCUGAGGCACGAAAGCUAGGGUAGCGAACGGGAUUAGAAACCCCGGUAGUCC
Molecule: ribosomal RNA, 274 nt
Filed under: uncultured bacterium
Lineage: Bacteria
Description: partial 16S ribosomal RNA
Rfam family: Bacterial small subunit ribosomal RNA
Source: RNAcentral